This 3355-nucleotide long non-coding RNA is filed under the name Mytilus galloprovincialis (Mediterranean mussel). The record is from RNAcentral. Lineage: Eukaryota; Metazoa; Mollusca; Bivalvia; Mytilida; Mytilidae.
CAAGACCUGUACAAGAUCCUGAUGAAGGAAACAAUUCAAGAGUUUAGACAUCUCUUGUACAAAAAAGAACAUCCAAAGCACCUUUGUGAAAAACUUGAUGAUGGCACUGAAUGUCCUGCUUGCUAUAAUGUAAGAUUUUUUAUUAAUAUGCUGAUAAGGUAUUUUUUUUUAAUUACUGUGAAAAUAUACUAUUAUCGUUAUUUUACAGUGGUUUCAUUUAUGUCUUCCUGAUAAUAAUCCUUAUUGUACUUCCUUAUUUCUAUAUCAACCUGCUCAGCUGAUUUUUUUUUUUUCAUAUUUAGGCUUUGUGACAUGGUAAAAAUAAACUAUUUCACCUGAACUUAUCCCCCACUUCAUAAUGUUUGACCCAACAUUAUCAAAAGUUGAGAACUUCUCAGCCAGCUUUUCAUGUGAUAAAUAUUUUAUCUAAUUUUUGUCGAGCCGCAACUUUGUUGGCAGAAUGCUCGACUAGGAUGUGUCCGGCGGCGGCGGCGGCGGCGGUGUUAGCUAACUUCUUAAAAGCUUUAUAUUUUAGAAGGUGAAGCUGGAUGCUUUACUUGUAUAUAGAUGCUCAUGUUACGAGUUUCCGUCAGUCCAUGUCCAAGGUCCUUGACCUUAUUUUCAUGGUUGUGACACUUGAACAGUUCAAUUUUUUGUAAUGUUGAAUUCUCUUUAUUAUAAGUAAUAGGAUGACUAUAUUUGAUAUGUGCGUCCUUGCAAGGUCUCAUGUCUGUCAGACAGUUUCACUUGAUCGACUCUUUCAUGGUAGUGAACAGGUUAAUUUUUGUUGGUCAAUCCGUAUCUCAGUACUAUAUAGCAAUAGGGCUUCUAUAUUCGAUGUUGGAAGGAUGUAAGGUGUACAUGUAACUGGCGGUGUCAUUGACCUUGACUAUUUUCUGGUUCGUGGUUAUAGUUGUUUUGUGUUUUGGUCUGUUUUUUUCAUACUAUAUGCAAUAGGUCUACUGUUUGUUGUAUGGAAUGAUUGUAAGGUGCUAAUGUCUUGCGGGCGAGUCAUGUGACUUGACUCAUUUUCAUGGUUCAGUGGUCAAAGUAAGUUUUGAGUUUUGGUCUUUUCUAAUUAUAUGCCAUAGGUCACUCUAUUUGGUGUAAUGGAAAUAUUUUAUGAUCUUAUGUCAUAGCGCAGGUUUCUUUGACAUGACGUCAUUUUCACGGUUAUUGCACAGCGUUAAGAGAUUGUUUUGGUCAUUUUCUUAAUAAGUAAUAGGUCAAUAUAUAUUGUAUAGAAGCAUUGUUAGCUGUAAUGUCUGCCUGGCAUGGUUCAUCUGCCUUGACUCCAUUUCAUGGUUCAUUGUCUUUGUUUAGUUAUCUUGGUUAUGUUAAGUUUAUGAGACAGUUGUAAUAAAGCUUUAUACUUAGGGCUAUCAACAUAAUAUCAAUGAUUAGUAAAGAAGGCGAGACAUUUCAGCAUGUGCACUCUUGUCUUUAUAAAGAUAUGGUAAACUAUCAGGUGUUUGUAAAAACAGGAAGCUUUUUAGCUUGUUUUCUGCACUCACUUGCCAAAAGACAUAUUUUCAUCUUAUUUUUUUUAUGAAAUCUAUAUGCAGAAAACCUUGGUAGUACUUCUUACAUAUCUUGCAGGUGAGCAUAAUCGAAAAAUUACUGCAAAUUUCUUAGGGUGUUACUAAGGCCCCAAUAAAAUAUUGUUGACAUGUUAUUUUUCAGUAUUCUAUUAAUGAUAGGUGAUGAUAUUUUUGAUUAUCGUUACAAUGUAGUGAUAUUGAGGAAAGAUAAAUGUCAAUGCUAAAUUUAUUCUAGUCUCCAUUCAAAUUGGUCUGUUUUCAUGCAGUUCAAAGGAAAAUGUUAUAAAUUGUGAAAGCUUCUAUAAAGUUUUACUGUUUUAUACAUCAUACAUAUAUAUAUAUAUUAUGUUACACCUUUAAAUUAAACUGACGAGGAAAGUUACUACCGGGUCACCGAAAGCCUGAUUUUCGUCGAGCCUAGGUGGUCAAGAGGUUUAAUGGGCAGUAUAUAAUGCAAGGCGAUUUGGUGCCACAAUAUCACAGUAGCACGAGUUUGAAUCCCGCCGAGGGAAUAACAAAAAUUUGCAAAAGCAAAUUUUCAUAUCUUACAUUGUUGGGCUGUUAUUUAAAGUAAUUAUAUAUAUAGUAUGUGUUUUCAGCCAUGUAUCACCUUCACUGGUGAUCCAAUGGAAAAGGUUAUCGUAGAGUUGUCACUUGUUCAGACGUACUUAGUUCGAAUCCCGGCUAGGGAAGAACAAAAAUUUGCUAACGCAAAUUUACAGAUCUAACAUUGUUGGGCUGUUGUUUAGAAUAUCAUUAUUAACUCAGCAUCGCCUCAAUCACGCAUCAUUGAUGGCGAUCGAUGGAUACAUCUGUUUAGGUUGUCACUGACUCAGCGUACUUAUAAAUAUAUUAUUUUCUGUGCGUAUCUUACAUUAAUUUGUAGGAUCCGUUACUAUAGAUAAUUUAGCUGAUCUGUAACAAACAUCUCAUGCUUAUAUAUCAUGUACUCAUACCGCUAUUUAAAACUGCGUGAAAGGUAAACACGCGAGCGAGAGCUCUUUUUUUGAGAGCCAGGUGUCGUGUGGUCUAGCGGCAGUGCAGGCGAUUUGGUGUCACGAUAUCACAGUAGCAUGGGUUCGAAUCCCGGCGAGGGAAGAACCAAAAAUUUGCGAAAGCAAAUUUACAGAUCUAACAUUGUUGGGUUGAUGUUUAGACGAGUUGUAUAUAUAUAUAUAUAUACAGCUUGAUAAAUGUUUUAAACCAAUAAUAAUUUAAAUUUAUGUGCUGAAAGAACUUAUAACAUACAUCCACAAUUUAUAAUUAAAAUAUUAUCUUAUAUUUACUCAUACAUUUUUAUUGGUAGGUUACUCAACCUAUUGUUUCAUUUGAUGCCGACAUUUUCAUCUUGUAAGGAAAGGCUCAUCAGGAAAUAAUUGGAAACCACCAAAUCAUGAAGGACACUUUUUUGUUAAUCAAGAUUCUGUGGACAACUUCAUGUCAGAUUAUACUACUGAUAACAAAAAAGAAGAUGUGGUAAGUGCUAAAUCAUGGAAGAGGAGGGAAGCAUAAAAAAUAAAUAAUUAAUGGUUAAUCAAGGACAGCAUUCUAAAAAUUUCAAUUGUGAUGCCCCAUUUUUUUUAUCAGGUUGAAAAAUAAACUAUAGAGGGAUGGAACCACAAGGGAAAAAAGUAUAACCCCAGAUUAGGUUUAUUCCAGAUUGUACUAUAAAUUAUUUUGAAUUUGAUAUAUACAAGAAACAAUUUUGUAGUUUUUUAUUGUAGAGAAUCUGCACAUAUAGCAUAUAUAUAUACUUUUGCAAUCUUUGCUUCAGGAAUGUAAUAAAUUUCAAGCUGGAAAUCAGUUGAGAUCCA